RNAcentral lists this small RNA (192 nucleotides) under Martinezella leucaenae. Its description in RNAcentral is "Rhizobium leucaenae sRNA Atu_C9". It matches the Rfam family "Rhizobiales sRNA Atu_C9". Lineage: Bacteria; Pseudomonadati; Pseudomonadota; Alphaproteobacteria; Hyphomicrobiales; Rhizobiaceae. The record is from RNAcentral.
GGUUGACUAAGGAGGAAGACAUGGGAUUGACGCGAUCCAUCAACGUCCUAGUGGUCAGUGCAGCGUUCCUAUUCGUUGUAACGAUGCUUUUCAUCUGACGAAAUAGCGAACAGGGCAGGAAACCGAACUCCUGAAAGCUAACAAAACACCUAUUCCAUUUAAAAAGCGCAUGCCGAAAUCGACAUGCGCUUU